UACGUAGGGUGCAAGCGUUGUCCGGAAUUAUUGGGCGUAAAGAGCUCGUAGGCGGUUUGUCGCGUCUGCUGUGAAAACUCGGGGCUUAACCCCGGGCCUGCAGUGGAUACGGGCAGACUAGAGGUAGGUAGGGGAGAAUGGAAUUCCCGGUGUAGCGGUGAAAUGCGCAGAUAUCGGGAGGAACACCGGUGGCGAAGGCGGUUCUCUGGGCCUUACCUGACGCUGAGGAGCGAAAGCGUGGGGAGCGAACAGG
RNAcentral lists this ribosomal RNA (253 nucleotides) under uncultured bacterium. Its description in RNAcentral is "partial 16S ribosomal RNA". It matches the Rfam family "Bacterial small subunit ribosomal RNA", at positions 524 to 776 of the family's 1533-position model. The record is from RNAcentral.